Molecule: ribosomal RNA, 467 nt
Filed under: uncultured bacterium
Lineage: Bacteria
Description: partial 16S ribosomal RNA
Rfam family: Bacterial small subunit ribosomal RNA
Source: RNAcentral
GACGAACGCUGGCGGCGUGCUUAACACAUGCAAGUCGAACGGAAAGGCCCUGCUUUUGUGGGGUGCUCGAGUGGCGAACGGGUGAGUAACACGUGAGUAACCUGCCCUUUACUUUGGGAUAACUUCAGGAAACUGGGGCUAAUACCGGAUAGGAGCUCCUGCUGCAUGGUGGGGGUUGGAUAGUUUCGGCGGUUGGGGAUGGACUCGCGGCUUAUCAGCUUGUUGGUGGGGUAGUGGCUUACCAAGGCUUUGACGGGUAGCCGGCCUGAGAGGGCGACCGGCCACAUUGGGACUGAGAUACGGCCCAGACUCAUACGGGAGGCAGGAGGGGGGAAUAGUGCACGAUGGGCGGAAGCGUGAUGCAGCAACGCCGGGUGCGGGAUGACGGCAUUCGGGUUGUAAGCCGCUUUCGCCUGUGACGAAGCGUGAGUAACGGUAAUGGGUAAAGAAGCACCGGCUAACUAGGU